Molecule: ribosomal RNA, 508 nt
Filed under: uncultured bacterium
Lineage: Bacteria
Description: partial 16S ribosomal RNA
Rfam family: Bacterial small subunit ribosomal RNA
Source: RNAcentral
GACGAACGCUGGCGGCGUGCCUAAUACAUGCAAGUCGAACGCUUCUUUCCUCCCGAGUGCUUGCACUCAAUUGGAAAGAGGAGUGGCGGACGGGUGAGUAACACGUGGGUAACCUACCCAUCAGAGGGGGAUAACACUUGGAAACAGGUGCUAAUACCGCAUAACAGUUUAUGCCGCAUGGCAUAAGAGUGAAAGGCGCUUUCGGGUGUCGCUGAUGGAUGGACCCGCGGUGCAUUAGCUAGUUGGUGAGGUAACGGCUCACCAAGGCCACGAUGCAUAGCCGACCUGAGAGGGUGAUCGGCCACACUGGGACUGAGACACGGCCCAGACUCCUACGGGAGGCAGCAGUAGGGAAUCUUCGGCAAUGGACGAAAGUCUGACCGAGCAACGCCGCGUGAGUGAAGAAGGUUUUCGGAUCGUAAAACUCUGUUGUUAGAGAAGAACAAGGACGUUAGUAACUGAACGUCCCCUGACGGUAUCUAACCAGAAAGCCACGGCUAGCCACGUG